RNAcentral lists this ribosomal RNA (172 nucleotides) under uncultured soil bacterium. RNAcentral's name for it is "partial 16S ribosomal RNA". It matches the Rfam family "Bacterial small subunit ribosomal RNA", at positions 335 to 524 of the family's 1533-position model. The record is from RNAcentral.
ACUCCUACGGGAGGCAGCAGUAGGGAAUUUUCCACAAUGGGCGAAAGCCUGAUGGAGCAACGCCGCGUGCAGGAUGAAUGCCUUCGGGUUGUAAACUGCUUUUAUAUGUGACGAUUAUGACGGUAGCAUAUGAAUAAGGAUCGGCUAACUCCGUGCCAGCAGCCGCGGUAAU